GACAGCAGCAGCCGCGGUAAUACGGAGGGGGCUAGCGUUGUUCGGAAUUACUGGGCGUAAAGCGCACGUAGGCGGCUUGGUAAGUUAGAGGUGAAGGCCUGGAGCUCAACUCCAGAAUUGCCUUUAAGACUGCCGAGCUGGCAGGUGAGAGAGGUAAGUGGAAUUCCGAGUGUAGAGGUGAAAUUCGUAGAUAUUCGGAAGAACACCAGUGGCGAAGGCGGCUUACUGGCUCAUACUGGACGCUGAGGUGCGAAAGCGUGGGGAGCAAACAGGAUUAGAGACCCCCGUAGUCCCUGUCUCUUAUAC
RNAcentral lists this ribosomal RNA (306 nucleotides) under uncultured bacterium. RNAcentral's name for it is "partial 16S ribosomal RNA". It matches the Rfam family "Bacterial small subunit ribosomal RNA", at positions 507 to 807 of the family's 1533-position model. The record is from RNAcentral.